This 353-nucleotide ribosomal RNA is filed under the name Ensifer meliloti. RNAcentral's name for it is "Sinorhizobium meliloti bacterial SSU rRNA". It matches the Rfam family "Bacterial small subunit ribosomal RNA", at positions 995 to 1347 of the family's 1533-position model. Lineage: Bacteria; Pseudomonadati; Pseudomonadota; Alphaproteobacteria; Hyphomicrobiales; Rhizobiaceae. The record is from RNAcentral.
GGGCAUUGGAGACGAUGUCCUUCAGUUAGGCUGGCCCCAGAACAGGUGCUGCAUGGCUGUCGUCAGCUCGUGUCGUGAGAUGUUGGGUUAAGUCCCGCAACGAGCGCAACCCUCGCCCUUAGUUGCCAGCAUUUAGUUGGGCACUCUAAGGGGACUGCCGGUGAUAAGCCGAGAGGAAGGUGGGGAUGACGUCAAGUCCUCAUGGCCCUUACGGGCUGGGCUACACACGUGCUACAAUGGUGGUGACAGUGGGCAGCGAGACAGCGAUGUCGAGCUAAUCUCCAAAAGCCAUCUCAGUUCGGAUUGCACUCUGCAACUCGAGUGCAUGAAGUUGGAAUCGCUAGUAAUCGCAG